RNAcentral lists this ribosomal RNA (253 nucleotides) under uncultured bacterium. Its description in RNAcentral is "partial 16S ribosomal RNA". It matches the Rfam family "Bacterial small subunit ribosomal RNA", at positions 524 to 776 of the family's 1533-position model. The record is from RNAcentral.
UACGUAGGGUGCAAGCGUUGUCCGGAAUUAUUGGGCGUAAAGAGCUCGUAGGCGGUUUGUUGCGUCGGCCGUGAAAACCUGCAGCUUAACUGUGGGCCUGCGGCCGAUACGGGCAGACUUGAGUUCGGUAGGGGAGACUGGAAUUCCUGGUGUAGCGGUGAAAUGCUUAGAUAUCGUCAAGAACACCGAUAGUGAAGACAGCUAACUAAGCUUUAACUGACGCUGAGGCACGAAAGUGUGGGGAUCAAACAGG